RNAcentral lists this ribosomal RNA (1377 nucleotides) under uncultured bacterium. Its description in RNAcentral is "bacterial SSU rRNA". It matches the Rfam family "Bacterial small subunit ribosomal RNA". The record is from RNAcentral.
AGAGUUUGAUCCUGGCUCAGGACGAACGCUGGCGGCGCGCCUAACACAUGCAAGUCGAACGGAGCUGAGAGGAGCUUGCUUUUCUUAGCUUAGUGGCGAACGGGUGAGUAACGCGUGAGUAACCUGCCCUGGAGUGGGGGACAACAGUUGGAAACGACUGCUAAUACCGCAUAAGCCCACGGCCCGGCAUCGGGCUGCGGGAAAAGGAUUUAUUCGCUUCAGGAUGGACUCGCGUCCAAUUAGCUAGUUGGUGAGGUAACGGCCCACCAAGGCGACGAUUGGUAGCCGGACUGAGAGGUUGAACGGCCACAUUGGGACUGAGACACGGCCCAGACUCCUACGGGAGGCAGCAGUGGGGGAUAUUGCACAAUGGGGGAAACCCUGAUGCAGCGACGCCGCGUGGAGGAAGAAGGUUUUCGGAUUGUAAACUCCUGUCGUUAGGGACGAUAAUGACGGUACCUAACAAGAAAGCACCGGCUAACUACGUGCCAGCAGCCGCGGUAAAACGUAGGGUGCAAGCGUUGUCCGGAAUUACUGGGUGUAAAGGGAGCGCAGGCGGACCGGCAAGUUGGAAGUGAAAACUAUGGGCUCAACCCAUAAAUUGCUUUCAAAACUGCUGGCCUUGAGUAGUGCAGAGGUAGGUGGAAUUCCCGGUGUAGCGGUGGAAUGCGUAGAUAUCGGGAGGAACACCAGUGGCGAAGGCGACCUACUGGGCACCAACUGACGCUGAGGCUCGAAAGCAUGGGUAGCAAACAGGAUUAGAUACCCUGGUAGUCCACGCCGUAAACGAUGAUUACUAGGUGUUGGUGGGUACGACCCAUCGGUGCCGCAGCAAACGCAAUAAGUAAUCCACCUGGGGAGUACGUUCGCAAGAAUGAAACUCAAAGGAAUUGACGGGGACCCGCACAAGCGGUGGAACAUGUGGUUUAAUUCGAUGAUACGCGAGGAACCUUACCCGGGCUUAAGUUGCAAAUGAAUGUUCUGGAAACAGAUCAGCCGCAAGGCAUUUGUGAAGGUGCUGCAUGGUUGUCGUCAGCUCGUGCCGUGAGGUGUCGGCUUAAGUGCCAUAACGAGCGCAACCCUUAUCGAUAGUUACCAUCAGGUUAUGCUGGGGACUCUGUCGAGACUGCCGUCGUAAGAUGUGAGGAAGGUGGGGAUGACGUCAAAUCAGCACGGCCCUUACGUCCGGGGCUACACACGUGUUACAAUGGGGGGUACAGAAGGCAGCUACCUGGCGACAGGAUGCUAAUCCCUAAAACCUCUCUCAGUUCGGAUUGGAGUCUGCAACCCGACUCCAUGAAGCUGGAUUCGCUAGUAAUCGCGCAUCAGCCACGGCGCGGUGAAUACGUUCCCGGGCCUUGCACUCACCGCCCGUCA